UCCCUGGUGGUCCAGUGGUUAGGACUUAGUGCUUUCACCACCACGAUCUGGGUUCAAUCCCUGGUUGUGGAA
This 72-nucleotide transfer RNA is filed under the name Ovis aries (sheep). It matches the Rfam family "tRNA". Rfam says of the family: Transfer RNA (tRNA) molecules are approximately 80 nucleotides in length. Their secondary structure includes four short double-helical elements and three loops (D, anti-codon, and T loops). The record is from Rfam by way of RNAcentral. Lineage: Eukaryota; Metazoa; Chordata; Mammalia; Artiodactyla; Bovidae.